GGAGUGAAGUGAUCAGUUAAGCCAUGUCUAUAGUUUCCAGACUACGCAAAUGAGGCUUUUACUUAAUUGAAUUGAACUUCUCAUGGCAUUCGGAGGCUGAACUCUAUCCUCCAGCGCAAGAGUUCACAACAGCAGUAGCUGAGCUGCAGCCUGAUUUAUACUUCUGGAAUGGAGGCCGUGAGACCAUCAGGCUUUCAAUUCAAUCUAUUCCAGUUUGUAAUGAUUUCCCUAAAAGGAGCCAGUUUUUGGUAUGCAGCAGGUAAGUAGUCAUUUUUCUUAGUUAUUUUAAAGGUGUGUAGUAUUGAGAAUGUACAAGUGGUUCC
Molecule: long non-coding RNA, 323 nt
Filed under: Anser brachyrhynchus (Pink-footed goose)
Lineage: Eukaryota; Metazoa; Chordata; Aves; Anseriformes; Anatidae
Description: lncRNA (ENSABRG00000002352.1)
Source: RNAcentral